This 600-nucleotide ribosomal RNA is filed under the name Rhodeus notatus (rosy bitterling). Its description in RNAcentral is "partial 16S ribosomal RNA". It matches the Rfam family "Bacterial large subunit ribosomal RNA", at positions 1803 to 2608 of the family's 2925-position model. The record is from RNAcentral. Lineage: Eukaryota; Metazoa; Chordata; Actinopteri; Cypriniformes; Acheilognathidae.
UUUUUCAAAAACAUCGCCUCCUGCAACUUUCUAUGUAUAGGAGGUCCAGCCUGCCCAGUGACUACGGGUUCAACGGCCGCGGUAUUUUGACCGUGCAAAGGUAGCGCAAUCACUUGUCUUUUAAAUGAAGACCUGUAUGAAUGGCCAAACGAGGGCUUAGCUGUCUCCCCCUUCUAGUCAGUGAAAUUGAUCUACCCGUGCAGAAGCGGGUGUAAUUAUACAAGACGAGAAGACCCUUUGGAGCUUAAGGUACAAAACUUAACCACGUUAAACAAAUUUAUAAAAAAUAUAAACUUAGUGAGAUGCAAAGUUUUACCUUCGGUUGGGGCGACCACGGAGGAAAGACAAGCCUCCAAGCGGACGGGGCCAACACCCUAAAACUAAGAGGGACACCUCUAAGCCACAGAAUAUCUGACCAAUAAUGAUCCAGCAUAAAGCUGAUCAACGGACCAAGUUACCCUAGGGAUAACAGCGCAAUCCUCUCCCAGAGUUCAUAUCGACGAGAGGGUUUACGACCUCGAUGUUGGAUCAGGACAUCCUAAUGGUGCAGCCGCUAUUAAGGGUUCGUUUGUUCAACGAUUAAAGUCCUACGUGAUCUGA